CAGUCGCCGCGGUAAUACGUAGGUCCCGAGCGUUGUCCGGAUUUAUUGGGCGUAAAGCGAGCGCAGGCGGUUAGAUAAGUCUGAAGUUAAAGGCUGUGGCUUAACCAUAGUACGCUUUGGAAACUGUUCAACUUGAGUGCAAGAGGGGAGAGUGGAAUUCCAUGUGUAGCGGUGAAAUGCGUAGAUAUAUGGAGGAACACCGGUGGCGAAAGCGGCUCUCUGGCUUGUAACUGACGCUGAGGAGCGAAAGCGUGGGGAGCGAACAGGAUUAGAUACCCCAGUAGUCCCUGUCUCUUAUACA
Molecule: ribosomal RNA, 301 nt
Filed under: uncultured bacterium
Lineage: Bacteria
Description: partial 16S ribosomal RNA
Rfam family: Bacterial small subunit ribosomal RNA
Source: RNAcentral